RNAcentral lists this long non-coding RNA (289 nucleotides) under Prunus persica (peach). Its description in RNAcentral is "long non-coding RNA (PPER_LNC001702)". Lineage: Eukaryota; Viridiplantae; Streptophyta; Magnoliopsida; Rosales; Rosaceae. The record is from RNAcentral.
GGGGAAUGAGCUGCGGGAGAGAGCGAGAGACAGAGAGGGAGAGCUGAGAGAGAGAGAGGGACGGAUUCUGUUAAAGCAGGACUCAAUUGGAACUACUUGUCGAGUUAAAGGAUGUAAUUGCCUCAAAAAGAAGUUCACGGACCCAAUUGCAACUGGGAACAAAGUUUAGGGACAUCUACAGUUAAAAACCCUUAAACAAUUACCUCUGCAGCUCAAAAUGAUGCUUUUACCCCUUAUUUUGACAGACAAAUUGACAGACUUGGACGGUAGGACCCAAUUGGAACUAUUU